AAUUUAACACACUAUUCCUACUAAUCCUAACAAGAAUCUUCCUAAAUUUCUCAUACAGGCAUAUACAUAUCAUAAUAAAUACAUAUACAUAAAAUCUUUAAAAUAAUUCAUGAAAUUAAUAAGACUUAUAAGAAAAAGUUUUAACAUGCGUUUAAAAGUUACAAGUCUAGAUGCUUAGUUCCCUACUUAUUCAACGACAACGUCUUCUUCUUCUUCUCUAUUCUCAGAUGGUUCUUGUUCUAAGAGAAGACAGAUAAUCAGAAUUAGAAACGAUGUUAUUUCUUUUAAUUGUUUUGAUAAGUGUUUUAAAUUCCUAAUAACCAUCCACUACAUGGUAGUUACGUGGGUUAAGGAUUUUAGUUUAUCCUAUUUUAUCUCCUCCUUAACCCCCAAUUACCUUUUAACAUUCUCUACCAAUUUUUUUUUCUUUUUACCCAUAGAAAAUUACCACUUAAGUAAUGAGCAAAAAUAAAAAUUGAAUAUAACAAUAAAAAAAUGUGGGUGUUACGGUCUCCCAUAGUGAAAGAACCUUUCUCCUUAUUGAGAGAGAUCACCAAUAUUUGCAAUAUACUUGUUUUAAAACAAAACUUUCCUGAAGUGUAUAUACUUGUGUUUUUUUUUCAGUUAAUCAACAACAUCUAUACACUACUCUCACUCUAAUAUUCAAACAAAGGUCUAGCUAGGUCACGAAGUGUUGGAAGGAAAAAAAACCUAUCUCUGGACGAAAAGGAUGCAUUAUUGUACACCUUUUGAUCAAUUUAAUUACAGGUGCAAAGAUUUGAACUCUUGACAUGCAAGUAGAACUACAUUAUAUGCUUUUUAUUACAAUAGAGCUCAAAACAGGAGAGGCAUAUGAAAUUCAAAACCUAAGGGGCUGCAAGUGAAUUAUCAAUAACCACAGGGGAGAUAACCAAAAUUAUCCCUCUUUUAAGUAAGUUGUUUUUAUUUUAUUUUUAUUUUCUCCUCUUUCUCUUUUCUAAUCAAACCAUACAAAAUUUUACAUCCACAAAGUCAAAUUUUCAGUCAAUUUGUAGAUAUUAUCAUAAAGAAAUAAUAAAAAUCGAAUAGUGUCUUGGACACGCUUUUAGGACUUAAAAUUAGUGAUGAAUACAGUAAUAACAUGAUCUGUCAUUUAAAAAUUUUCAAUCCAUCACAAACCUUAACUAAGGGUUAACACUUGUGUUUUCAGACUCGGACCGGAUCAGUCGGUUCGACCGAUCGAACCGGGAACCUGCCAAGUGUCCGGACCGAGUCAUGCUUCAAAAUCGGGUAAGUAAAAACCCGGUCAAGUCCGGUCAAAAACCGGAUUUUCCGGUUCAAACAAUUUUUUAAAAAAAAAAAAUCAAACU
Molecule: long non-coding RNA, 1349 nt
Filed under: Coffea arabica (coffee)
Lineage: Eukaryota; Viridiplantae; Streptophyta; Magnoliopsida; Gentianales; Rubiaceae
Description: long non-coding RNA (CARA_LNC006041)
Source: RNAcentral